Long non-coding RNA from Harpia harpyja (harpy eagle), 4338 nucleotides. RefSeq lists it as uncharacterized. The transcript is spliced from 3 exons. NCBI's taxonomy places the organism in Eukaryota, Metazoa, Chordata, Aves, Accipitriformes, Accipitridae. The record is from RefSeq and is a predicted model, not a curated record.
GAUAACGGUGUCGUCGUUUUGCGCACAUGACAACUAUUCUGCCACAAAGAUCUUGAUUUUAUGUUACACCAAGGGCAGUUUGAUCUCACUGUUGCUCGCUGCUCCCCUGAACCCGGUUUCGGUGAAGUUAUCCAUUAGAGGGAGCUACAGAGCAAUUUAUUAGGAGAUCAGCUUUAAGGCACAGUUUUUGAACAUGUUAGGUACACAUAGGGAAUAAAAAUACAUCAACGAUAUGUUCAGAAAUGGCUCUGGGCUUUUCUCCUUUUUAUGGUGAAUUAGUUUUAGCCCUACUAGGACUGAUUUCCUCAGCCCUGUACCCAGAGUCCUCUGUUUUAAAGCACUUGUUUAUUUUCUUUGACACCCCUCCCUGCCGUGUGGUUAUCCCAUUCCCAUAGCACGUGCGUUAUUUACAAGGAUGCUGGAAAUACUUAUGUAAUCUUCAAAAAAUAAUCACUCUUUUGUUCCCUAGGUCACUACUACUCUUAUCUUGAUAAGAAAAAAAAACGCUAAGGGAAUUGCAGAGGAAGCCUGCCCUUCCCGUGGUGGUACUGAAGAGCCAGGUUGUACUCGAAACCGCCUUACGCCAGCCUGCUGUGCCAAGGACCCUUGCUGGGGAUAAGCUCCGUAAGUCCAAAGAGGAUUUAAGUACAGUCCGCAGCGGCUGGUGCACACAACAGAGAUGCAGCCUCUGGCUGACGAGAGGGUUUAAAAUCUCAGACCUGUCGACCGCCAGAAGGUGAGAGGGUAAAGCAGGGCCACCAGCACUCCCCACAAGUCCUGCUCGUACAGCGUUUGCACGGCUUCUCGCCCAAACCUCGCCCCGGGGAGGGUGGUGCGUGAUUUGUGGCCGUGCAGAAACGCACGGGAGGGAACGGGCGAGAUGGAAAAGACGCACAUGAGAAGCCAAAUUUAGACCGAGGUUAAGCUUCCCCAAGUCUGAGCAGAGAGGGGGCAACCUCCAAGCAGGGAAUCUGAACGCACGAAUCCAGGCACGGCCGGCGGUGCCGUGGGAAAUCUGCCUGCAAGGCGGCGGGACCGCCGGCCUCACUUACCCUGGUUUAGGACGUUCCCGCUUCCAGCACUGACAGCGCUUUCUUGGCUAUUUGACGGGCAGCAAGACAGCGACUGUGCUCCGAGACACUGCCUUCAGAUGCAGCCUGCUCAUCCGCAGUCAAAUUUCCCCUUGAAACCCUCAGGAAUUUUGCCGAGAGCGAGGCCAUGCACUACUUGACUUACUGAGGCAAAAGCUGUUUACAGCUAAAGAAUACAAACAAGCCCCGAAACUUCUGUCCUUCAUUAUUUUACAUUGACUCGCUGCGGUCUGGGCCAGCUCCAGCAUUUUUUCUCACUGCACUCAUUACUCCAGGCAGUGAUGAAACUGGAUAAGCCAAAUGGCCAGCUUGGCCUUGACAUAGUCAUAAUGUCGUUGAAAGUAGGGGGAAACACAAAUGUACUGCCUCGGCCGUGGGAGUCUGAGACCUUCCUGCUUCAUUUACAGUAAAAAUCAGUCAGAAAUCCUUAAUUCCCUCACUUUCAGACUUCUCUGGUACACACACACACUAAGGCGUUGCACAAAAUAUCAGGAGAAAGAAGCCGGAAGACUUUCAUAAUUUGAUCUUUCAAACCUGUCAGUGAGAAAUGCUUUGAAAUUUAACUUCCCACCAAAGAAACCCAGGUAAAGCUGUAGGGACAUUUUAAUUGUAUUAAAAAUGGUCACCAAAGACGGUCACAUCACUUGGAAGCAAAUGCUGCUAUUGAGAAGUGAUCUGCUGCUGCAAGAUAAAGUGACAAAGUAAGUGGGAUAAAUGAUCUUAGGUGGGACCGCUGGCAUAGCCUUCAUUGUGUUUUUGAAGCAGCAAGGAAGGAUUCAAAUACCAAUGCAUUUACAACAGAACUGGACUAAUUUCUCUACUCUGGUUUAUGUCGGCACAUUUACGUCCAAAUAGCUGAAGCGAAGAUUCCAGUUCUGCUGAUAACUAACCCAGAAAAUCAAACCCCCGCCGCUGGCUGCCGCAGCAUAGCUUACAUUGUUUUGCAGCAGCUGCAGGAUGCAUUCUUUACACUUAAUAUAAACAAACAGAUAGGAUCCCGGCGUAGGGGAGGGCUCCCGGGAUGCGAGGGCAGCUCGGUGCCGCAGACCCGCGGCUCCCCGGCUGAGAGAGAGCGAGCGCUGGAGCCUUUGGUGGCUGUUGGCCUGGGCUGCCUCCCAUCUAGAUUUCUUAAAACUGGCUAUUUUAUUGUUUGGAGAUAAACUGGUUGCUGAUUAGAUGCAAGUGGGUUUGUUUAAUUAAAAAAAAAAUAAAAGGCCGGCUAAUUGAGUUAAAGCUAUGUGGUUUAUGGGAGAAAAUGCCAAAGUUAAUUACGGUUACCAUCUGUUUCACCAAAAUACUCGUUCGCUUUGAAUACCUCUAUUGUCAGGGCUGGUUUUAAGAUCUUUCUCAAAUUUAGUCCAGUGAGGAGGUACUGUAAAAUGAAAUUAAACUGUUCCCCAUAAUCUCUGGCAGACAACAGAGUGGUGGCAUCUGCAGUGACCUUAUGGUGCGAUUUCUUUUAAAGAAAAUAUUGCUGUGGCUUUAAUCACUGCAAGCUUAGCUCUGUGUGCAGGAAGCUUGCGUGAUUUUUUUCGGGGAUUUAUUCAAGGAGGUCUUCGUGUAUGUGUUUCUGUAUGAGGCAAAUUGCAAACAUGAAUGGCAUUCUUUUCCCCAGUGCCUCCUUUCCACUACCUGACCAUGGUUUAAUUCCUGCGAUAUUAAUUCUCAAAAAACCCAUGAAGAAUUCACCUCUCCCCGUGGUACUCAGGCACACAUACACAUGUACAUGCACACACCUUGCUCUUAAGAGCUAUGUCACGAUAUAUGAGUUAGCUAUCUUGAGCGUCUCUUAAUACACUUGUACGGCACAGCCCGGAGGAACCGAGUGACUGGACAUAGCACGAGGUUUUACCCCUUGGACUUGGUUGCAGCAUGGGACCAUUUGUCGCAGGCUCCUGCUGCACCGCCGGGCUGCCCGCGCUCACUGGGAGAUGCUGGCACAAAUACCGGUUCCUGCCUCGUUUCCAGGGGGUUGUGAGGUAUUUGAAAUUAAUGUUAUGUAUUGCUAUCGGUAAGUAGAAGAGGUCAGACUAGUGCUCAGGUGAUAGAAGCAAGGUGGCUGUGAAGCUGGCGUCAGGAAAACAAGCCCCAGUAACUUCUUUUGACAGGCCAGCUGUGUUAUGAUAUACACAUUCUCCAAAACAUUCAAAUGAGGCGGUCUCGCUGACUGAAUGUUUGUAAUUCCAAGGCUGAAAGGAACAUAUGAAUUCAUGUGUACUGAAUCCUGUGAAUUCAAGGAAAAUUCAAUGGAGAUUUAAUCUGCUUCUGGAAGGAAAAAUUCUUCGCUCUGCCUACUUCAAAGAGAAACAAAAACAUCCUUUAUUCUUCUUAGUGAGAGGACUGUACUGUUACCACUCAACAUAGUGAAAUAACGACUCCUUGAAAAUCUUGCUCUUACAUCUUGGAUAAAUACUCGCCUAAUGGGAGUGAUAAAGUAUUAGGCAAUAAGAUUAGAAAGAGAGAUUGUUCCUGAAUCAGUCCAUUAGGAUUAACCAGGCUUUGUUCCAUGGCAACUUAGCUAAGAAUAAUCAUGACUGCAAAUAGUGCUGUUCCAGUUUCUUGGGUGGAGCACAGGGUAAAAUUGCUGGUCUCCAAAUGCAAUUGUUAAUGUGUUUGGCGGUUCUUAAAUGUCACUGUGGCUGUUCUUCAGUUCAGUUAGAGUUGUUGUUUUUGCCAUCAUAUGUGAUGCGUAAGGAGUUCAAAACCCUGCAGCCAGAGUGGAUGAUGGCAAAUUCACAAAAAUUACAGCAUCUUUACAACACAAUAUUCGUACCAGCCGCAUUUACCACGUGGUGCUCAAACUCUUCAAACUUACAGUAUCAUUGAAGGGUCUCAAGCCCUGUUUGUUGAACAGCCGUCAACUCUUGUUCAGAGGAGAAAAUUAUUUUCUCAGGAGACUUUCUAUGUGGCUCGUAUCGACAACUAUCUGAUGGCUUAUGCAAGCCAUGAGGGGUGGCAUCAUCUCCGCAGGAGCUAAGAUCCCUGUCAGAAGUGUCCGUGUUGUGUGUGUUAAUUAUUUUGGAUGUCCUACUUUUGAGAUGGUACGGACCCAGCAUUUGGGAGCAUUUGGCAUGAUUUGGCACUUUCUCAAAUCAAAGCCAGUAUCCCAAGGUAAGCCCGGUGGGAAGGUUCUUUCUCAAAUUCUUUCUGGGACAGAAAACACAGCAGAGAAAGGUUUCCUAGUCUCAGUUCCUCUGCCUGUACCCGGGAUGGUCAAGAAAGUGAAGGAGCUGCACUUAUAGAGAAG